CCCUUAGAUGUCCUGGGCUGCACGCGCGCUACACUGACACGUUCAGCAAGUUUCCUAUUCCGAAGGGAAAAGGUAAUCUUUUGAAAUCGUGUCGUGAUGGGGAUAGAUUAUUGCAAUUAUUAAUCUUCAACGAGGAAUUCCUAGUAAGUGUAAGUCAUCAGCUUGCACUGAUUACGUCCCUGCCUUUUGUACACACCGCCCGUCGCUCCUACCGAUUGGGUGAUCCGGUGAAUAAUUCGGACUGCGCUUAUGGGCAACCAUUUGUGCGGGAAGUUUAGUGAACCUUAUCACUUAGAGGAAGGAGAAGUCGUAACA
This 315-nucleotide ribosomal RNA is filed under the name uncultured eukaryote. RNAcentral's name for it is "partial 18S ribosomal RNA". It matches the Rfam family "Eukaryotic small subunit ribosomal RNA", at positions 1470 to 1796 of the family's 1831-position model. The record is from RNAcentral.